UCUCCGUUGGGGAACCAGCGGAGGGAUCAUUACCGAGUUUACAACUCCCAAACCCCUAUGUGAACGUUACCAAACUGUUGCCUCGGCGGGAAAUUCAUGCCCCGGGCGCGUCGCAGCCCCGGACCAAGGCGCCCGCCGGAGGACCAACCAAAACUCUUUUGUAUGUCCCUCGCGGACUUUUAUAAUUCUGAACCAUCUCGGCGCCCCUAGCGGGCGUUUCGAAAAUGAAUCAAAACUUUCAACAACGGAUCUCUUGGUUCUG
This 262-nucleotide unclassified non-coding RNA is filed under the name plant metagenome. RNAcentral's name for it is "partial contains small subunit ribosomal RNA, internal transcribed spacer 1, and 5.8S ribosomal RNA". The record is from RNAcentral.